GGCCGGGGGGAGAGGGGGGAAGGCAAUUGUCGCUGCCUUUGCUACCUCCCUGCCUUAGGUGCAACCCUCAGGGGACGCCCCUACAGCACCCUCACCGUGCAAAGCAUCCACGGGUGAACGUAUCAAAUCUUUUUUUUUUUUUUUUUUCGGACAGCUAACUUCGUAGCCCCAUCUCUCUCUCUCUCUCUCUCUCUCUCUCCCCCCUUCCCCCCUGCUUUUCUUUUGUAUCCUGGCCCCACUUAUUUUUGCGGUUAUAUAAAGUUUAAAAUCUGUCUCUGUACUGGACGAGCACCUCUUCCUAAAGUGUGGGUGUACCCCCCCCAUCCCGCAGCCUGCAUCCGCUCCCGGUCCCGCCGCCCGGGGUGAGCGGCGAUAAGGGACGCUGACGUUUCCUUGAAGGAGCUGCAGUGACUCAGAAGAACAAAAUUUCCUGCCCGGUAUUCAAUAAAACAAACAAAUGUCCCUUCUGUGCACUGCCCUGAUCCUGGCUGGGACAUUACUGAUAGGGAAAAGGAAAAAAAAGUAUUUUUAAAUGCCAAAAAGGGAAAUAAUAGGAAAUAAAAUCUGUCCCCUUAACUUGGAGGAGAGCGCAGAGAUCUGCUUCUAGAAAAGGUGGGGAUAUGCCCGAGGGCUGGACAAGUGCAGUUACGGAGAAAAAAAGAGAAACAUCCCCGCUCCGCAGAUUUUGUUUCUACUAUACACGGUUAUUUGGGAACACCGUGUACCCAGGAUUUAAUGGCUCAGUCGCUGCCUUGCGGGUGCACCGGGGGCACGUCAGGAGCGCUGAUGCAUGCACGAAGGCCAAGGUUAAAGGUGCAGCCGGGGACCUCCUCCCGGGGGGCGCGGGAAGGCACGGCGAGGGAUAUCACAGCCUCCACCUACUCUCCCCUGCCGGGGCGCAUUCCCGUUCGCAGCCCUGGCAGGGGUCAGGCGCGGCCGGGGGUUGCCGGGCUCCUGAGCCCUACAGGCGGCUGGAACUUUCCACCCGACGGGACGUUAUUCAUGCGCGUGUUUAGCCUCGCUGUCUGAGCGAUGGGCGCUGGGCUGCGGCCAGCGACUCCAGCUGCAACCUGCCCCCAUCCCCCCCCCCGCUCGGAGCCCAUCUUUUUGCUCUUUAUUUUUUUUCUCUCCACCCGCUGCUGCUGCCUUCCCCCACAACCGCCGCCGGCCGCUGGGCGGCAUCCCUUGGCAGCUGCCUGUACCCUGCGCCUCGGGGGGGAUGAUGGCAAGCACCCCAGCACAGCAGGGGUGCAGCUCAGUCAAACGCUGCUGCUCACCCUGAACAGCAAGACGGAUGAGCCGGGAUAAAGAGAGACCCCUCUUCGGCGAAGUGGGCACAGGUCUUUUAAAAGCGCUGCAAAGGCCUUAUACGGAAAGAGCUCCGAGCCCCCGGUAUCCUUCCCGGAGCAGGGGGGCCUUGUCCGGUCCCGCCGUCCCGGUGUGGGGAAGUGGAAGAGAGCUGGCGCCAGGGAAGGAUGGGGUGACGAGAGAGGCAAGGAAAUGCGGGCUGCGGCUGGCGGGACCUUACGUUCUCCCACUUGUUGCUUUCCUCUGUUGGGGAGCGAAACUACCACUCUCACUAAUCGAUAACGGUGAACCCCUUAACAGUAGAAACGAGCGAGAGAACGCAAGCAAGGAAAAGGUAGCUGAGACUGGAUGUGGCACUUAGUGCAAUGAUCUAGUAACCACGGCGGUGUUGGAUCAAGAGUUGGACUUGAUGAUCUCGGAGGUCUUUUCCAACCUGGUUGAUUCUAUGAUUCUAUGAUUCUCUUACUCCAAAGCCAAGUCUUAUAGAAAAGCAUCAGACAUUGUGAAUUUCCCAAUAAAUUGCGUUAAGAAUUUGUGUGGUCAGUGGAUUAGGACUCUACCGCUAAACAGUAAAUACAGGAGAAGAAUCAAAGAAUUACAGUGAGGUUUCACACUUGCGUUACUUUUCUACCGCAGACUAAAAAAAUGACAAACUGUCCUGAACUUCUAAAUUUAUAGUUUCAAAGGAAAGUAAAUAAAAAGUAAAAGGUGGACACUGAAAAUGAAAAAAAGAACAUGAGACUCCACAGAUGGAAUAUUAAAAAUUUAGAGAACUCUUUGCCCAAGGAUCUGUGCACUCCAAAAUAUGGAUGGGUUCAAGAAUGGAUGGACAAAUCAAUAGGAAAAAAAACACCCAGAAUUUGACUACAAAGGCAGCAUGUCUGACCUGGAAUGUUCCUGGACCACAAACUCCUGUGAGCCAUGGCUGGGUUGGAUCAUAUCACUGAAUAGUUGCCUGUUCUUUCCCUCUCCCAUAGUGGCACAGUGUUAGGUGGUGCACUGACCAACUAACCCAGUAACCCAGACUGACCUGCAUGGACCUUGGGCCCAUACUAGCAUUCUGACAGUCUUAUAUUGCACUUUGGAGUGGUGUGAUGGUGCUUUAUUAGUCACAGUGUUUAACCAACUCAGAAAACCCAAGGAACUGCUGAUUACUGUCAAGAAGGAAGAGAACCGAAUUGAUUUGUAACCUACUAUAAAGCAUUUGACUCUGCCAAGUAACUGUGUUCCAUGUAAAAGUAGCACUGAGUAAACAGAUGCUCAUCAAGCUCUUCACCAUGUCAGCAUCCAAAACAGGGCCCCGCUGCCAGGCUGUGAGAGAUGCAGAAAGACAUAGAGGCUGCUGGAACAGUGGGCGACCUAGGCAUGGGGCAGAGCAGGCACAACAUGCUGGCUUACUGUUAUGGGUUACCCCAGGGGCCUGCUGACACAGACAUUUUGGACAUGCCUAAUGUAAAGCCAGGGUAUUGCUCAGUGCAGUUCAAAGCACAUUCAGCAGUAGUUUGACUAUGUAAAUUCAUCUCCCUAGAAAAGCCUUGCUGUUUGGAGGGCUUCUUCAUCCAUGGUGGGCAGACAGAUGUUAGUCCUGCCUGGCAGUGUUUAAUUUAUGGGACAUACAGAAACUUCUCCCUCUUGCCCUUCAAGAAGGUCAGAGACUUCAGCAGCCCACAUGGUAACUGGAAUCUCUGAGUUCUUUUCUGACUCUGUCCUGGUCCUCAUUGUUUAGUAUGGAAUUCACUGCCUUAAUCCUUCAGAAAAUUAAUUCUCUGGUACCUUCUAAACUUCAGUUUGGCGAAGAAUUCAAUGCUGAAUGAAUGAAUUCCUGCUUACUUAUCGUGCUGAAUCAAGAUGCAGCAAGUUGCUAAAAUUACUUGGCUGACUCCGGAAGGAAACUUCUCCAAAUUCUGCAAAUAUUUUCAUCAGCAUUCGGCUUUGGCUUAAUUAAAGGAAGAUGGAAUUCCAGCUUUGGACUGUAGGAAUGACAUAGCCCCCAAAUACAGAAGAUGAUGGCACUCCUAACAGCAACUGUCUUCUGAAGCAAAAUCUCAAAAGCUUUUAUUUUCCUCCUGUAAAUCCCCAACAAACAAGUCUCUGACCUUGUAAUUAAGUUUCAUGUGCAACAGCCAAAAUUUUCAGUCAAGACCUUCAGGCUGCCCCCACAAAUGAUGUCUAUGAGUAGCAGCAAACAGAUAAGGAACUGAAUAGCAGCUUUAAUAACAAUCCCAACAGAGAUUUUAAAUCAAGAGCUUUCGAAUGCUGUCAACAGGUCUGCUAGACAUUGUGUUGACAGGAGGUUUAUUGACUGAAGCCCCUAUUGAUCUGGGAACAUCUGAUUGAUUUCAGUGUCAUAUUUUGCCAAAUACAAAUUUGAAACAUCUUUUAUUUCCCUUUUCUGAUGCUUACAGAGCAGGUUUACUGCAUUGUCAUUAAGAGGCUUUAGUGCCAAGGGAUUACGCUUGCAGGAUCACAGAGUGAUGCAGGGCUGUGCUGAGAAAAAAGUAAUUCCCAUCCUUGUAGAAAGCAGUGGAAAAUUACAGCAUCCUUUAUAUGAACUGACCUCUAGUUAGAAUAGCUGAUAAGCCCUGACCUCCAUUUUUUUUCCAACACUGGAUUUGACUCUAACGGAGCUGUUGUCAUUGUGACUUUAUGAACAAAUGUUGCAGGUAUUUUGGCCCAUAGCAGCUAGAGUGAGGUGACUGAAGAAAAAGCAUAUUUGUAUGCCUUCCCCUGAGUGUGCCACCCCAAGGUUCAUAAAAGUCCUUGAAAUAUUGCGUAACCUCUCCAGCUUAUAGUUCUCAUAAAAUUAUGUUGGAUGACAGAUACUUGAAUUCAUUAUUAUUGUUAUGAACUUAAAAUAAUUUACUGUGACUGCACAGAGAUUGCUCUUAUCAGAACUGAAUACUGCUAGUAUGAAAAAAAAUGUGAAAACAUCUGAUAGAAAAAUGAUAAAAAAAGGAUACAUGAGAAAAAUGAAGAUUUUUAGUGAUACUGUAAGUUCGGUCUGCUGGCUUCCUUUGGUCACAAGGCAGCCUUAUGUGAGAAGCUCAUAUGUGCUCCAAAAUGAAUAGUGUAAGCAUGUACUGUCUGCUAAUUCUUGUGCUCAGAUUUUUUCUUUCAAAAUUUUAGAUUUUGAAGGAUAAUAGCAGAAAUGCAUUUAGGCAUCUUCUAUCAAGGGCAUAAUCUGAACAAGUUUCCCUGCACCUCUUGAAUGAAUAUAUCUGCUGAAACACAAAUGUUAGCUGAACUAACCUAGCUAUGGGGUCAUCUCUUUUAUCUCUUUUUCCCUUAUCUCUUCAUCUAGUGUUCCACUAGGUGUUUGCUACCAUGAUAUCUCAAUGUCUCUUAUGCAUAUACAAAACCCCCAUCAUCAUCAUCAUCAUCAUCAUCAUCAUCAUCAUCAUCAUCAUCAUCAUCAUCAUCAUCAUCAUCGUUGUAAUUCAUUAUCUUAAAAGAAAGAUCUCUUUAAGCCUGUAAGUCCUCCAGCAACCUUGUAGAUAAGGCAUCAAAUGAUGUAAACAGUAAGCAAAUUUGUCAGAGAGGAAUUUUUGUUAGAGAAACGUUCAGCUGGCUGCUAACUCAAAACAAAAACUUGGAUUCUUGGAGAUGUGAAAACAGAGGACUGCUAAAGGGAGAAUCACACUGCCAGGUGUUAAUGCUUUUUCUCUUGGUGAUACCACCAUAUCUCUUGCCAUUAUGUUGACUGCUUCAAUAUCCCUUAUUAUUUGUAGGAGAUUUUCUUUCAAGAAGUGUUAAAAGGCUUCCUGGGCAGAAGGAUGUAAAACGUACAUGCUAUACAGGGCUUUAUCUAUAGUGAUUUGUGUCUAGUGAUUUAUAAUUUUAGGAGAUAUUUGCAGGACGCAGAUAAAAGUAGGGUUUAUUACAGUAUUUCUGAGGGUAGAUUAAUUAGUCUAAGCUAGAUAGCGAGGGAAGAAGUGUUAAUUUUGCCCUAGGUAACUGCUCCAUUCAUAAUAUAUUUACCCUCAUUACAUUUUGGUACUUAAUUUAGACAUAUAGCUACCAAAGGUACCCUCCUUGGUCAGAAGAAACAAAUAAGUGCCCUGAAGGCAACUCAGUCCAUCUGUGGCCUGAAUCAUUAGGCAGUGUCUAAUGUUUAGUUGAAGGAAUUUGGUCCUGAAACCUAGAGAUAGGUAGAAGCUUUUCUGAAUUACAGGUGAUUUUUUUUCUUAUUUCUGGAGCUUCAUGUGUAAAAUAUAUAGAAUUGCUUUAGAGGAUCGUAUUGUCAACAUAGCUUGAGAGCUGGUCAUUUAGUUCCAGAUUUAUAUAUAUUUGCAUAUAUUCACAUAAUAUAUGUAUUUAUGUGUUUAUAUAUUUACAUUAUUUAUAUAUAUAUUUACAUAUAUUUACAUAUAUUUACAUCAAGAGAAAAAAGUCCUGUGGCAAGUUUAAAUACCAUACAUAUGGUCAGAGAUUUCUAACCUAACUUAGUCCAGUCUACUUAUGGACCUGGAAUAAUACUUGUAACGUUGGUAUAAUGCACCAUGGUUCUCCUCAAGGAUGGAUUAUAUACAUCUUGUCUUCCAGCUAGCAGCCCUGUGUGGUUGUGUAUUAUACUGGAUAUACAAACCAUACCUGUUUUCUUGAAAUUAAUUGACAUUAUCUUGCCUUGCACUGUGCCUGAUAUCAUCUCAGACAGAUGUGAAACUAUUAGUUCUAUUUUACAAAAGUGGGAAUUAAACCGCAGCAUAGACGGUAUGUCUCAUCUGAGGGAAGUCUGUGGCAGAACCAAAAAUUAAAUGCAAAAUUGACUUUCUACCAUUCUAGUAUCUGGAUUAAGAUUGUGUACAGCAAUAUAUAUUCCGUAUCAGCCAACCUUAUUUGUAUAAUUACAUGUGUUGUAAACAGAAAAUUUGGCUUGUCAAGAGCCAGAGCAGGCAGUGCAGGCAUUUGCAGUACCUUGGAGGAAUGCUGCCUAGAUAUCUGAUAUUACUAUAGCCCUCGUUCCCUUCCCAUCAGGAGCUAUCCAUUAUAGUGAAAAAUGAGGGACUUGGAACACUGACACCUAAAAGGCUGUUAUUCAAAAAAGGAUCUGAAUCCAAAUUUGGGGAGAAACGAAGGAAGUAUAACCAUAUCCACAUUGAACUGGCAACUUGUAACAUCACCUGCCACCAUCCAGCAUGUUGGAAAUGCCAGGAAAGUGCUUUUCUCACAGCACAUGAUCACCACAAAGAAUAUUACUGGAAGACAAAGGAGUCCCAUAGCUGUUUAACAGGCAGACCCAGAAAGAAAAAACCACAAACAUCUCCAGCACUAAUUUCUGUUUUUCACUUCCAGAUGCCAUUUUUGAACCUGCUCAGUCAUUCACAGCACUGUGAAUCUCUUUAUAGUAUUCCAAUUAGUCCAAAUUUUUUUAACACCUUAAGCCCCAGAGUGAAUUGCAAACCUUUGAUAUGCAUUUUAUUUACUUUGCCAGAAGCUGCCUUUACUUUUUUGUUAAUGUUUUAUAUGAUUCCACAAAGAAAAGCUUAUCUUCAGGCAGCCAAGCUCAAGUGUUUUGUCCAUAGGUUUACUAGACUUCAGGGCCAAAAGAAGUGGCUGGAACAUCUAACCUGGCUGUCUGUGUAACAGAGACUUGCAUUUGCUGCUAUGUAUAUCAGGUCCAACAACUUCACCUCUGAGGUUUCUUGUCUCUUCCUCUUAACUCAAGUUUAAAUAUCUCCACAUUUUCAUCCAAUUCAAGGAUUAGAAUCGGGAGGUUUGACAAGCAUAGACACCCACCCGUGCAUAGUCAUGCAGUAGACCACAGGCUGUGGGUAUGUGACCUUUCCAGCCUUCAGCAAGAGCUUCCUCGCCCCAAUGCGUCUGCAUCUACUCAUCAGUGCUCACAUGGUGGGUGUUACCAACCACUGGAGCUCCCACUGACUUGCAUUAGUCAGCCAGGUGAUGAGCACCUGGGCACAGCCUCUUCAGCUGGCACUGCUGAAGCUGGAGGCAGAUGUGUAUCCCAGCCUGCUUAGUCAUUUUGAAAGGCAAACUGUAAGCAUAGUGCCAUUGAUCUUACACCCACUGGCUGCAUUCUUAUUUUAAACUCCUGAAGAAAAGAAGAAUACAGAUUUGGAAGUGUGCCAUGCUCCAAGUGGUUGGUUAUACUACUGUGAUGCUCCCAUCAGAACCUUGUAAUAGAGUAUUUUUUUCAGAGAAUACCUGCAUGCAGAAAUGGUGAAAAGCAGGUCUAGCAUAGUGGAUUACUGGUGAACGCAGUGUGACUGGUACAUAAUUCUCAGUGUGAGGCUAAUUUCUAUACCUUCAGUGAGAUCAACACAACACCUCUCUGCCUAGCUGAAUAUCAUAUAUUGAUCCUUCAUACAAGACAGACUUAAUAAUGCUGUAAUUUUUUUUUUUUUAAAGCAAGGACACGAGAAAGAAAAUCAACCACCUGUAUGUAUUUUUAAUAGGACAUCAGAAAAGUUAACUCCUGAAACUCUGAUGUGUUGCAAAUGUGCCUCAGCCUGCUGCCAUAUAGAAAACAUUACUAAGUAGCUUGUAUUCUGUUGACAGUGGUGCUCUUUAGAAAUAUAGUUAAAGUGACAGGUGAAGAAACUGAAGCAUAAAGAGAUUAAGCAAAGUACUUUCCCAUGAGAUAGGGGAUUGAAAACAAGACUUUUGGCCUUCAGUGUUGUACUGCUCGUGUAGACAGACGAGCCACUGAGGGAAAUUGUAUAGUUUAAAUGCAGAAAGACUAAGCAUAAUUUAGCUGCCAAUGGCAGCUUUAGUCACUUGCAAAGCAUAGCACUCUGGACUUCUCUACAGUUACAGGGAACUCUGUUACUAGUGCUAUUAUUCAUGAUUUUCAUUUAGUAAUGAUUUUCACUUAUGCUUGUUUUUUAUCCAGAGCCCUUUAAAGCCUCACACAGGCAAACAUUAACAGUGACAUUUUAUAGAAUGAAGAGGUGGGGAAGUUGGAUGACUUGGGUCAUUGUCAUAUGAUGAGCCUGAAAUAGAAUAAACAUUUGUAAAGCUUGUGACUUUCAAUCCCAUGCUCAACUCAUUGGACAUAUAGUCCACCUCCUACAAAGCAAAACUUGACAGCAGUUUUGCUCGUUUGUUGACUUACCCAGGCUAACUGACUCUAAACAACUAUCAAAUCACAGGUCAAAUCACAGCUAUUGUAUUCUGAAUCAAAAUCAAAUGCUGUGUUCUCCUGAGUUUCAAGAAGUUUGCAAGUAGCACACUGGUUUUGACUUGUUCCAGUGUUUUGAGAUCUUAGUGCUUUUUAUAGAAAGAUAAUGAGCAGAGAAAAAUAGGGAAUUUCUCAAAAAGGAAGAAAAUCUGUUUGUACCAGAUAUGAAAGUAUGACAUACGCAAUGAGGUCCAUAUGCCAGAUUCAGCUGCGUAGUAACUCUGUAUCAUUCUAAUCCUAUUUUGACUUCACUAUAUCUGCUUCAAAAUGGAUAGUAAAUAAUAGUAAAAUAUGCUCAGCUUUGUCUGGAGAUAGCAUUUUGAAGUAUUUUUUACAGACCACAUUUUUCUCAUAUUUAGUAUUAUGUAUAGAUAUAUUUUUGUCACUGUGAUUGUGUUUUUCAUUUAAUACAUAUUUAUUCUAUCUUGUUUAACUUUUCUGUGUUGAACAGCAUACACAGAACUUACAACUAUUUCAUCCAGUUUCAGGUCACGCUGAUGAAAGAUCUGUAAUCACUCCCCAGAGCCCCAGAACAUUCACCUUGAUUGUGUCAAGUAUAUUUGUCUUUAGAUACUGCAGCCGCAACUAUUAAACUUCCAAGUCACUUUGGUUGUGUGAGUUGAGUCAUGGAAUAAAAUAAAAUAAAAUUACUUCUAUUAAUGCA
This is a long non-coding RNA of Pseudopipra pipra, 9110 nucleotides long. RefSeq lists it as uncharacterized. NCBI's taxonomy places the organism in Eukaryota, Metazoa, Chordata, Aves, Passeriformes, Pipridae. The transcript is spliced from 2 exons. The record is from RefSeq and is a predicted model, not a curated record.